This 252-nucleotide ribosomal RNA is filed under the name uncultured bacterium. Its description in RNAcentral is "partial 16S ribosomal RNA". It matches the Rfam family "Bacterial small subunit ribosomal RNA", at positions 524 to 776 of the family's 1533-position model. The record is from RNAcentral.
UACGAAGGGGGCGAGCGUUGUUCGGAUUUACUGGGCGUAAGGGCGCGCAGGCGGCUCGUUUUGUCAGGCGUGAAAGCCCCGGGCUUAACCUGGGAACUGCGUUUGAUACGGACGGGCUAGAGUUCGGGAGAGGAGAGUGGAAUUCCCAGUGUAGAGGUGAAAUUCGUAGAUAUUGGGAAGAACACCGGUGGCGAAGGCGGCUCUCUGGACCGAGACUGACGCUGAGGCGCGAAAGCGUGGGGAGCAAACAGG